Molecule: ribosomal RNA, 490 nt
Filed under: uncultured bacterium
Lineage: Bacteria
Description: partial 16S ribosomal RNA
Rfam family: Bacterial small subunit ribosomal RNA
Source: RNAcentral
AAUGAACGCUGGCGGCAUGCCUUUCACAUGCAAGUCGAACGGCAGCAUGACCUAGCUUGCUAGGUUGAUGGCGAGUGGCGAACGGGUGAGUAAUGCAUCGGAACGUGCCUUUUAGUGGGGGAUAACGUAGCGAAAGUUACGCUAAUACCGCAUAUUCUCUGAGGAGGAAAGCAGGGGACCUUCGGGCCUUGCGCUAGAAGAGCGGCCGAUGUCGGAUUAGCUAGUUGGUGAGGUAAAGGCUCACCAAGGCAACGAUCCGUAGCGGGUCUGAGAGGAUGAUCCGCCACACUGGGACUGAGACACGGCCCAGACUCCUACGGGAGGCAGCAGUGGGGAAUUUUGGACAAUGGGCGCAAGCCUGAUCCAGCCAUGCCGCGUGAGUGAAGAAGGCCUUCGGGUUGUAAAGCUCUUUCGGCUGGGAAGAAAUCGCACCCUCUAAUACAGGGUGUGGAUGACGGUACCAGCAUAAGAAGCACCGGCUAACUACGUG